Long non-coding RNA from Sarcophilus harrisii (Tasmanian devil), 350 nucleotides. RefSeq lists it as uncharacterized. NCBI's taxonomy places the organism in Eukaryota, Metazoa, Chordata, Mammalia, Dasyuromorphia, Dasyuridae. The transcript is spliced from 3 exons. The record is from RefSeq and is a predicted model, not a curated record.
AGAAGCUGCAGAGACAGAGAAAGAAGAUGGGCACACCGAUGUCGGGGGCCGAGGCUCACAGAAGGGACGCCGGUGACAGCUGGGGAAACUGAGGCACACGGAGGCCACUGGUCCCCCCAUCACAGACAGCUGGGAUCAGAGCCCAGACUAAAGCCGGGUGACGCUGGCAGCGGUUGGUCUCACCUCCUCUGGGUCAGGACGUGCUUGAGGAUCCGGCUGAACCUGUCCGAGGCGCUGGACGAGCUGCAGAAGGAACAUAUUGGUGGCAGGAUGCACGAGCCCCUCCUUCCGGAACCAAGGACCGACUUUUGGGAGGUCACGAAGACCCCGAAACAGAACUGGGCAAGCCC